UCUUGCCUCAGUCUCCCAAGUAGCUGGACAGGUGUGCGCCACCAUGCCUGACUAAUUUUUGUAUUUUUAGUAGAGAUGGGGUUUCACCACAUUGGCUAGGUUGGUCUCAAACUCCUGACCUCAGGUGAUCCGCCUGCCUCGGUCUCCCAAAGUGCUGGUAUUACACAUGUGAGGCAUUGUGCCCGGCCUGAGAACUACAACUUUAGACUUACUGUUGUGAAAAUCUCAAACUAGGCUCUAUUGCAAACAUGUGUUUGCAUCAUAUAGGCAUGCAUAGACAUGCUGACGGGGUUUAUGUUACAGCCAAAAAGCUAAUGCCAACACCAACCGCUGGCACUUCUAUAUUUACUUCCAGGAGCCCUUGCCUUUACCACCCAUACCCCGCUACCCAUGUACCUCCCACUCCCCCAGAUUGAGGAGGGAGCUAGCUAAUAGGCAACUGAAGCACUGGAUUGGAACUGCAACUCAAGGUUGUGGGAGCAAGAGUUCUGAAGUGAAGACCUUGAUCAGCACAAACCUGAUCAUGUGACCUUGUGAAAGUUACUUCACAAUUCCCUGCUUCGGUUACUUUGGUUAUAAAAUUAAACUAAUGGAAUGGAUCUAUUUGCUAAAAAUAUGAGAUUUAAUGAGCAAAUAAUUUUAAAGUGCUCCAUUAAUUCUGCGAUUGUUAAAUAACUUCACUGCAUAAAAUUCUAUAGAACUCUUUCAAAUAUAUAAAAAAAGCACCCCAAUGAUUCUUUUUUUUUUUGGAAACAGGGUCUCACUCUGUUGCCCAGGCUGGAGUGCAGUGCCAUGAUCACAGCUCACUUCAACCUCAGCCUCCCAGGUAGCUGGGACUGCAGGCCUGUACCACCAUUAUUAUUAUUAUUAUUAUUAUUAUUAUUAUUUUGUAUUUUCUGCAGAAAUGGGGUUUGGUCAUGUUACCCAGGCUGGUCUCAAGCUCCUGGGAUCAAGUGAUCUGUCCGCCUUGGCCUCCCAAAGUGCUGGGAUUACAGCGGGGAGCCACUGCGCCCAGCCCAGCCAGCACGAUUCUGACCCAGAGGGUUUAGAAGUUGCUUAGACAGAUCUGCUCCUGCGAGUCAAGUGAAGCAGUGGGAGACGGAGGACAAAAAGAAUUUUGACUAAGGCAAUAAAUAUAUUAUACAAGUGAAGUAUUUCCCAAAUUGUAUUCUGUGAAAUGCUGUGUUCUCAAAUGUUAACAAGUUCCAUACAAGAACCAUUUAUUUCUAAAUUCUAAAGUCACAUUCAUAUUAUGAAUUAUAUUAAACAUAUAUAGUUACUUUUAUUAUACCUAAUAAUCUGUCUUUAUAAAAGUGUUUACCCAAAAAUGCCAGCAGAUUCCAUGAGAAACUACCUGUACUACAAUGAUCGUCAAACUUUGGUGCAUACAUGACAGAAUCAACUGGAGGGCUUGUUAAAGGAUUGCUGAGUCAAACCCCUAGUUUCAGCAGGUUUGUGGUGGGGCCUGAGAAUUUACAUUUCUUUUUUUUUUUUUUAGACGGAGUCUCGCUCUGUUGCCCAGACUGGAGUGCAGUGGCGCGAUCUUGGCUCACUGCAACCUCCGCCUCCUGGGUUCAAGCGAUUCUUCUGCCUCAGCCUCCUGAGUAGCUGGGACUACAGGUGCCCGCCACCAUGCUCAGCUAAUUUUUGGAUUUUUAGUAGAGACGGGGUUUUACCAUAUUGGCCAGGCUGGUCUCGAACUCCUGACCUUGUGACCCACCCACCUCGGCCUCCCAAAUUGCUGGGAUUACAGGCAAGAGCCACCGCGCCCUGCCGAGAAUUUGCAUUUCUAACAAGUUCCCAGGUGAUGCUGACACUGCUGGCUCAUGGAACCACUGCUGUAGUAUUUUCCAAAUUAUCCUGAUUCUAAGAACCACCUAUGACCUGUGCUGUUUUUUCUGUGGUUACUGGCUCAUGUCACAUAAAUUCUUUUAAGAUUCAAACAUGUUUGUGAUAUUACUCAGUAUUUACAUCUUGCUUUUACUGCAGCAUGACAGAAAAAUUAACCACAGGUAUAUCAUAACAAAAAGACCAUGAGUUACCAUUUUCACAAAGUUCAGAUAUAUUUAAAUUAGCCUAUUUAAUCUUUUUUUGGUUGUUGUUGAGAUGGAGUCUCACUCUGUCUCUCAGGCUGGAGUACAGUGGCACGAUCUCAGCUCACUGCAACCUCUGCCUCCCAGGUUCAAGUGAUUCUCCUGCCUCAGCCUCCCGAAUAGCGGGGAUUACAGGUGCCCACCACCACACAUGGCUAAUUUUGGUAUUUUUAGUAGAGAUGGGGUUUUGCCAUGUUAGCCAGGCUGGUCUUGAACUCCUGACCUCAGGUGAUCCGCCUGCCUCGGCCUCUCAAAGUGCUGGGAUUACAGGCAUGAGCCAUCGUGCCCAGCCUAUGGUACACCUUUACUGAGGAAACAAUUCAGGAACAUCACUCUUAGUAAGGCAAUUGUUGAUUAUAAGUCAAAAAAACACUAUCAUGUACAAAUUCAGGGGAUUUUGCAUACCUUGUUUUUUUGGUUACAAAUAUGCAAAAUUAAAGAUGUUUGCUAAUACUUGUUUCCAAUUUUUAAACUUUUCAAGUGUUGCACUGUUAAUAAUGUUAAAAUAAAAGGCAUUUGACUUAGUAUGAUUGUUUCUUGAACUUCAUCUUUUCAGGUUAUUUUGUUGCUGGCCACU
This 2670-nucleotide long non-coding RNA is filed under the name Pan troglodytes (chimpanzee). RNAcentral describes it as "long non-coding RNA NONPTRT000932". The record is from RNAcentral. Lineage: Eukaryota; Metazoa; Chordata; Mammalia; Primates; Hominidae.